Molecule: long non-coding RNA, 1285 nt
Organism: Onychostruthus taczanowskii (white-rumped snowfinch)
Lineage: Eukaryota; Metazoa; Chordata; Aves; Passeriformes; Passeridae
Exons: 2
Source: RefSeq, a predicted model, not a curated record
UUUGGGAAAAAAUACUGGGAUUUUGGGAAUUCUUGUGCUUUUGGGAAUAAUCCUGGGAUUUUGGGAACGAUCCUGCUUUGGGAAUGAUCCUGGGAUUUUGGGAACAAUUCUGCUUCUGGGACGACCUUUGCACAGCUGAAGGAUUUCCCCGGAGCUCAGGCUCCAGCCCCGGCGUUCUCCUGGAUUUCCAAGAUCCCUCCUGCACGGAAGAGCCCCCGGAGCAGCGUUCCCUUGUUCAUCCAGAAAAACCAGAGCGGGGUUUUGGGGCUUCCCUCCGUGUUUUUGGGACGGGCUCAGGCUGAGCAAUCCCAAAAUCCACCUCUGAUUCGUGCGCUGCGAAUAAUUCAAAUCCUCAUUUGCGAGGCCUCGCCAGGCCCCGGCGCGUCCCUCGGCCAGGAGGGGCUGGCACGGAGCUGCUGCCGGGCACAAAAAAGCACAAAAAAGCACAAAACGCUGCUGCCAGACACAAAAAUGAAGCUUUGUCACCUUCACAACGCAAGGUUUUCCCUUUUGGAAGCGUAAAAAUAAGGAAUUCAUCAGGGCGAGGCCUGCACAGGGCCCAGCGGGGAGGCGUCGCCGCCGCCGCCGCUGUGAAACACGACCAAAAAAAGAAAUAAAAUCCUCUGGAAACGGCUGGAAUUGGGAACAAAACCCUCUGGAAUUGGGGCUCUGGAACAGCCAGGGAAGUUUUCUCCUGGCUGGGGGCAGGUUUGAGGGAAGUGCUGGUGAUAAAUGGGAUUUCGUGAGCGAGGAAGGAGGGAAGGGCCUCCCGGAGCCUCCAUCACAGCCUGGGCAAAGCUUUUUUUAUUCCAAAUACCGAGCACGGGGCUGAGCUGAUCCAAAAGGAUUUCCAGAAGAUUCUGGCAAGCACAAGAGUGGCUCCAGGCCGGGGAGGGGACACUGGGAAUGGCCUCGGGGACAGCCCCAAACCCCGCUGUGAAAAUGGUUUUGUGUGGUUUUAGUGGCAGCUGGCAGUGGAAUCAGCAAAUGUUUGGAUCUGCUGUGUGAAAAUAGACACAGAGAAAGGUUUGGAGACUUUCUGAUGGAAAAUGGACACAGAGAAAGGUUUGGAGACUUUCUGAUGGAAAAUAGACAUGAAGAAAGGUUUGGAGACUUUCUGAUGGAAAAUGGACACGAAGAAAGGUUUGGAGACUUUCUGAUGGAAAAUAGACAUGAAGAAAGGUUUGGAGACUUUCUGAUGGAAAAUGGACACGAAGAAAGGUUUGGAGACUUUGUGACCAUGUAGCCAAAGAGAGCAUCAAAAUAAAAGAAGGAAACUCUGAAA